Non-coding RNA from Podarcis lilfordi (Lilford's wall lizard), 116 nucleotides. NCBI's taxonomy places the organism in Eukaryota, Metazoa, Chordata, Lepidosauria, Squamata, Lacertidae. The record is from the annotation of a GenBank genome assembly.
AGAGCUCUGCAGAAGUAGGCUUCCAUACAUAUUUCAAAUGAAGAGACAUCAUUUUCUGUGUAUCGGGAUGUCUGUUCAUUUGAAAUAUGUGUGGAAGCCUGCUUCUGCAGAGCUCU